RNAcentral lists this ribosomal RNA (396 nucleotides) under uncultured bacterium. RNAcentral describes it as "partial 16S ribosomal RNA". It matches the Rfam family "Bacterial small subunit ribosomal RNA", at positions 523 to 918 of the family's 1533-position model. The record is from RNAcentral.
AUACGUAGGUGGCAAGCGUUGUCCGGAAUUAUUGGGCGUAAAGCGCAUGUAGGCGGUUUGGUAAGUCGGUCGUGAAAAUGCGGUGCUUAACGCCGUAUGGCGAUUGAAACUGCUGAACUUGAGUGCAGGAGAGGAAAGGGGAACUCCCAGUGUAGCGGGGAACUGCGUAGAUAUUGGGAAGAACACCGGUGGCGAAGGCGCCUUUCUGGACUGUGUCUGACGCUCAGAUGCGAAAGCCAGGGUAGCGAACGGGAUUAGAUACCCCGGUAGUCCUGGCCGUAAACGAUGGGUACUAGGUGUGGGAGGUAUCGACUCCUUCCGUGCCGGAGUUAACGCAAUAAGUACCCCGCCUGGGGAGUACGGCCGCAAGGCUUAAACUUAAAGGAAUUGACGGGG